RNAcentral lists this transfer RNA (72 nucleotides) under Rhizoctonia solani. RNAcentral describes it as "tRNA-Met". It matches the Rfam family "tRNA". From Rfam's summary of the family: Transfer RNA (tRNA) molecules are approximately 80 nucleotides in length. Their secondary structure includes four short double-helical elements and three loops (D, anti-codon, and T loops). The record is from RNAcentral. RNAcentral also lists the same sequence under 2 other names. Lineage: Eukaryota; Fungi; Basidiomycota; Agaricomycetes; Cantharellales; Ceratobasidiaceae.
AGCUUCUUAGCGCAGUGGAAGCGCGCGGGGCUCAUAACCCCGAGGUCCUCGGAUCGAGACCGAGAGAAGCUA